Molecule: ribosomal RNA, 253 nt
Filed under: uncultured bacterium
Lineage: Bacteria
Description: partial 16S ribosomal RNA
Rfam family: Bacterial small subunit ribosomal RNA
Source: RNAcentral
UACGUAGGGGGCAAGCGUUGUCCGGAAUCAUUGGGCGUAAAGAGCGUGUAGGCGGUUCGGUAAGUCUGCUGUGAAAGUCCAGGGCUCAACCCUGGAAAGCCGGUGGAUACUGUCGGACUAGAGUGCGGAAGAGGCGAGUGGAAUUCCCGGUGUAGCGGUGAAAUGCGCAGAUAUCGGGAGGAACACCAAUUGCGAAGGCAGCUCGCUGGGACGUGACUGACGCUGAGGCGCGAAAGCGUGGGGAGCAAACAGG